RNAcentral lists this ribosomal RNA (468 nucleotides) under uncultured bacterium. RNAcentral describes it as "partial 16S ribosomal RNA". It matches the Rfam family "Bacterial small subunit ribosomal RNA", at positions 28 to 507 of the family's 1533-position model. The record is from RNAcentral.
GACGAACGCUGGCGGCGUGCUUAACACAUGCAAGUCGAACGGAAAGGCCCUGCUUUUGUUGGUUUCUCGAUUGGCGAACGGGUGAGUAACACGUGAGUAACCUGCCCUUGUCUUUGGGAUAACUUCAGGAAACUGGGGCUCAUACCGGAUAUGAGCUCCUGCUGCAUGUUGGGGGUUGGAAAGUUUCGGCGGUUGGGGCUGGACUCGCGGCUUAUCAGCUUGUUGGUGGGGUAGUGGCUUACCAAGGCUUUGACGGGUAGCCGGCCUGAGAGGGUGAACGGCGACAAUGGGACUGAGAGACGGACCAGACUGCUACGGGAGGCAGCAGUGGGGAAUAUUGCACAAUGGGCGGAAGCGUGAGGCAGAAGCGCCGCGUGCGGGAUGACGGCCUUCGGGUUGUAAACAGAUUUCGCAUGUGACGAAGAGUGAGUGACGGUAAUGGGUAAAGAAGCACCGGCUAACUACGUG